AUGUGGCACUUUUCGAAUAUCGAGAUUCAAACAAGUCUAUCUUUGACCGUAAAUUUUUCAUAGAUCUUUUAAACAUUUUUAAAUUUUUAAUUAUUGUAACUUAUAGUACUUUUUACGUAGUUUUACAAAUAUAUAAAUUUCAUUUCAAAAAAAUUGAAGAUUUCAUGCGCAAAUUCCCGGUCAAACUUAAACAGUUUGACUCUCGAAAAACGAAAAGUGCCACAUAA
Molecule: microRNA precursor, 227 nt
Filed under: Solanum tuberosum (potato)
Lineage: Eukaryota; Viridiplantae; Streptophyta; Magnoliopsida; Solanales; Solanaceae
Description: MIR8007 microRNA precursor family
Rfam family: MIR8007 microRNA precursor family
Source: Rfam by way of RNAcentral